CAGCAGCUUCCGUGCAGCCCCAAUUAGUGCCAGCGCGUCCUACAGCACGCUUUUGAACUUUGCGUCCAGCUUGGCGUCCAGCUUGGCGUCCUGAUCGCUGAACUUGGCGUCCAGCUUGGCGUUUUGCUCGCUGAACUUGGUGUCCAGCUUGGCGUUCAGGAACUCUGCCAGCGUCGCCCUCCCCUGAAAUGGAAAUACGAGUGAUGUGAGGCGCAUGAAAACUGGUGCAACGUCUUUGCAGGCGCAACGUCUUUGCAGGCUUUACUAGGGCUUCCACUCACGUCAUCAGGAGCCCCGAGCUCGCCCGCCGCAGCGGAAGCUGCCACUUUGGGCGUUCCGCGCAGUAAUUGAGCUCUCGAGCUUUGCAGCUGGAUGCGCAGAGCUGCGAAGCGGCCCGCAAAGCAAGAUUUGCGUCAUUCCGUUAAAGCCCUCGUUUGGGCGCCAGUCUUGCAAAGCGCACCUGUACAGCAUCCGCUGGAUGGCACGCGGUGGACGCACGAGGAGACAGCAGACGCAGGCGGGUUGACUGAUAGGCGCGAGCGCGUCGUUCGCGGCGGAGAGUUUACGUUCACGAACUGUAAGGGCAUGGCUACUGGGGUACUCCAGCAAAGGAAAAUACCAGGGGACUGCAGAUUACAGGAACGCUUGGAAGUGCUACGUGGAUUCACGGAGCUCGCGCUCGCACAAUGAGCCUCUUUCCAAUCGACUUUAGAAUGCUGACAAUGCUCGCCCGCAGUACCGCUGCCUUGUGGGAAUGUGCAAUAACAACACCAAGUAUUUCGGGAAACAUAUUGGGGCGGCCAAAAGCCGAGGUCGGACCCAUUUGGUCGGGGCCCGCCUUCCGCGAAGGUUGACACGCGGCAAACACCCAGCACGCCAACAGGCAGGCGUUUGUUGCCCCCCGCCCUUCCUCCCCCUCCCCCGUCCCGUGAGCUGGUUGCGCCACCGACGGCGGCGCUCAGCGGGGCCUUUGCUGCUUCCAGAGCCAUCCCCCUCUAAUUUGUGCGACCGAAUGCAAGCCAUGCUCGCGCCUAUGCCGCGCCUGCUAUCCACAAAAUACCGCCACCUUCAACUGCCACCACUGCCGUCCAUGUACCCUGCAGGUGCGCGCCAUCGCGAACCACCGAGCUCUCCCGCACGGCAUUGUGUGCUGUCUGUGACGUGUGGCCUGGCCGGGCGACCCGGAGUGCGAGGAGUGCGUUUCAGCGAUUUCAGCCCAGCUCAGCGGCACUACUCAGCAGUUCGUGGACCAUCUAGCCGCAGCACCAGCGCAUCAAACUUCGGUGGCGGUGGUAACGUGGUAUUGGUAAGGGGGGGCUGGGCACUACACGGCACGGGGCGCUGUCUUCCAACGAUCAUCGGUGCCUGGGCUGGGCUGGGCGCACGUGGGUCCUGGGACUGUUUUGGGACUAUUUGGGAUGGUUAUUUCAUCCCUUGCCAAGUUACGUCAACUGCUGCCACCGCGCACCCGCAUGCAGCCUGCCAACGCGCCGCCAACGCUGGCGACCAACCGCUGCGCGCCUUCGAGCUGUUCUUCCUGCAUGGUGGCUAGGAGGCGGCGCUGGCGGUGACGGGCGGGCCGCUGCUCUGGACCACGAUGGCACAGAACGUGCAGAGCCUGCGGUGAGCUGAGGAAGGAGGCCUUGGGGGGCGGGGACAUCUCAUCUGACAUAAAACCGUGGGGUUGGGGCAGCACGUGGCAAGCUGCUCCCUGAAAGGAAGCGAAGACAUCUGAGGUUGUAGGCUGCAUGUCUCCCACCCACCCCUUGUUCAGACGGGGCAGUUCCCCGGGGGCUCGACAGUGCGAUUGAGGCCAUCGACAAGCCGCGCUGCAGCUGUGGCUUGAGCUACAUGCAGAAUAUGUUGCGCCAGGCUGCUGAGAAGAGCACUGGUGCCGGCACGCGUGGACAAGUCUAAGCCCUUGAGCCGUCAAGCCCAGUAGCGAGUACAUAGUCGAGCACAUCUUAUCACUGGUUGACAUCUUAUCACUGGUUGUCAGGCUGUCCUUUUUCUUCAUCACCCACGCAGCCCUGCAAAACCCGAGCGUCAUCACUGCAACGCUCUUCAAUGUGUGUGACAUGUGCCCGUCACUACAACAUGCACCCUCACGUGCCCGCCACACUGCUGUGCGCCACAUUCUCCGCUGCAUCACGCGGGAAUUUCAUUCCGACAUUCCGACAAGUGUUCCCAGGUCACAGGAAAAGGGGCUGAGCCCCUCCACAGUCUGAGGCCGAACAACCUCAUCGCCCCAACAUAGCCGGGAUCGGUUUCCACAGGCACAUAGCCAAACCCUGUGCCUAGCAAUCGUGAUGCCACAGCAGAGCCAACGGCAGCCAGACGCAGCACAGUUCUCAACAGCCGCACUACUUGUCAUGCCGCUACGCAUGCCCUGCCAGCCCCACCGCGGACCGCUACCUAGACACCAGCCGGCUCCUCAGCCUGCGCGCUUGCGCCGCUUUUGGCACUUUUUGUCGACGCAGGCAUCAGGCAGGCACAGGCAGGCACAGGGACAGCUCGCCUGGUCGCCUGGUCUCCCUGUGCCUCAGGGGCAAAGUUAACGCGAAGUGCUAUCCUCUGCAGACCCGUCGGCCACAUCUGCAUAAUUCCCGCCCGAAUGAAUGUGAAUGAAACCUCAUACAACGUGCACGACAUACAUCUACGACUGGCUACAUUCAGCACUCCUCACUGGCUACACGCAGCACUCCUCACUGCCAAACGAAUUAAUCCUGUGCGACGGCAACUACUACUGUUGAAUGUGCUUAGCAUCAUGGAAGGCGGUUUCCCUGCAACAAGCAAACAAAACUCAUAAGAUUACCCAGACACGAUGCACACAUACGUGCAGAUGUUUAUGACACAGAAACGCAGCACACACAUGUACUCGCGUUCCGCACCCCCACCCUCCACACACAAACACACACACGCACACAAAACACGGUAUUGUCUAUCAGAAGCGGCAUCAGGACACAGCAGCAAGAAGCAAGGCCCGGCGCACCUGUCUCCAUGCCAGCAGUGGAGCACCCUGCGACGGCUGGUCUACAGCACGUCCUGGGCUGAGAACACGUCCACGUCCAGCACCUGGGCAGGGCCACACGCCGGGCGCAGCUUCACAGGCUCUUGCGGUGGGUUGCCUUCCACCCUGGCCCACGCCACCACGCCGCGCGCCUUGACGUCCACGGGAAGCUGGUGCCGGAGCACGGCCGACCGCUGGCGUAUGACGUGGUAGCCGCACAGCAGGACCAUCGCAGAGCGUUUGAGCUGCGGAAUGGCGGCGGACGUGCCUGUACAGCAUGGAGCCACACCAGCAAUGCAGUGAUGGAGCUGUAUGUGAUGAACAGCAUGCUCCCAGGGUGGCAUCCGGGUGGCCAACUACCUCCGCAUUACACUAGGCACGAUCACAUGAUCACACACUGCUACGCCAGGGGUAACUGUCUGCUUGCGGCGAGCAAGCCUGCACCCACCCUUGCUGCUGGNNNNNNNNNNNNNNNNNNNNNNNNNNNNNNNNNNNNNNNNNNNNNNNNNNNNNNNNNNNNNNNNNNNNNNNNNNNNNNNNNNNNNNNNNNNNNNNNNNNNCGCUGGCACUAAUAAUGGCAGAAGCGGAGGAGCCGCCGCUGCCGAGGUUGCGCAUACAUGCAGCGGCUGCGGCUGCGGCGCCGAACCCACCGAUGAUACCUUGUGAGCCCAACGCACUGGCAGCCGCUUCAGUAGCUCACUGCGUGCCGCCUCCAGCUUCUGCAGCUGCACCGCAUCCGUGACAGCAAGGAAGCCGAGCAGAGGUGAAUGCAGUCAAGUUUUGCUCAGGAAGGAGCUGCACACGGGGCAAGGGCCAGCAAGCAGGUAGCAUGCGUAGUUACGCCCGGUUGCCAUGCGCACAUAGCUGGCCCGGCGACAAACUGCAAACCAUACCCAUCAUGCAUGCAUUGAGCAACCCGAUACCUACGCCCAUUGGCACAUUGCUGCAGGGCAGCAGGCAGGCAGACCUAACCUGCUGUACGCACCUGAGCCAGCCCGCCCUCCACCUGCUCUGGCCCGGCCCGCUGGAGCAGGGCAAUCUGCUGCUGUAUCUCCGCGACCACUACCGCCAGGAAGCCGCGGUCCUGUGAGCAAGCAUGGUUGAGUUGCGCAUGUCCAUUCAAACAAGGGUUCCAGGACGGCAGUCAGCAUAUAAUCAAACUGCACCCAAAUGCUGUGGUCGCGCGUGUGGUCGUGGAAGAGGGAGGGAACAACCCGAGCGCACGCACGCGUACGGACCCCGGCGUGCCGCCGCCAGCUACGCACCUCCUCUGCAAGCCAAUCCAGCAGCGCCGCCACCGCAGCGUCCAGGUCAGCCUCGCUGCGCUGGGGGCCUGACAGCAGCACCGCCGUGAGGCUCCGUGCGCUGUUCAGCACUGUCCGCCGCCCAGACCUCUCGCCCAGCUUGCGCUCCAGGGACUGUUUACCAACGUGCAGGGGGACUUAGUGGAGAUCCUCCUGUCCGGCUAAAACCUCUCGCCCAGCUUGCGCUCCAGGUAGCCGGACAGGAGGAUCUCCACUAAGUCCCCCUGCACGUUGGUAAACAGCUAAUUAUGGCAGAAGCGGAGGAGCCGCCGCUGCCGAGGUUGCGCAUACAUGCAGCGGCUGCGGCUGCGGCGCCGAACCCACCGAUGAUGCGGUGUGAGCCCAACGCACUGGCAGCCGCUUCAGUAGCUCACUGCGUGCCGCCUCCAGCUUCUGCAGCUGCACCGCAUCCGUGACAGCAAGGAAGCCGAGCAGAGGUGAAUGCAGUCAAGUUUUGCUCAGGAAGGAGCUGCACACGGGGCAAGGGCCAGCAAGCAGGUAGCAUGCGUAGUUACGCCCGGUUGCCAUGCGCACAUAGCUGGCCCGGCGACAAACUGCAAACCAUACCCAUCAUGCAUGCAUUGAGCAACCUGAUACCUACGCCCAUUGGCACAUUGGUGCAGGGCAGCAGGCAGGCAGACCUAAC
Molecule: long non-coding RNA, 4960 nt
Filed under: Chlamydomonas reinhardtii
Lineage: Eukaryota; Viridiplantae; Chlorophyta; Chlorophyceae; Chlamydomonadales; Chlamydomonadaceae
Description: long non-coding RNA (CREI_LNC000946)
Source: RNAcentral